RNAcentral lists this long non-coding RNA (755 nucleotides) under Rattus norvegicus (Norway rat). RNAcentral's name for it is "long non-coding RNA NONRATT015347". The record is from RNAcentral. Lineage: Eukaryota; Metazoa; Chordata; Mammalia; Rodentia; Muridae.
CUGUCUCCAGGUUCCUGUCUCGAGUCUCUGAUCUGACUUCCCUCGAUGUUAGACUGCAACCUGUGAGGUGAAACAAAGCGUUUCUUCCCCAAGUUUUAGUUGUGGCCUGUGUCACAGCAUCAGAAAGCAAACUAGAAGAAAAAGAAGAGAGGCAGACGUUUCACAUGUCUCCAAUCUCACUGUAGCUUGGCUUUCCGAGCUUCAAAAGCUGGGAAGCUAAAGAAAUACAUCUCCAAGACUCCCUUGGAAUGUAGCUGGGAUCACGCUUUUGCCAUGCAGAAAACAACCCCACCUGACACGGCAGAUAGGUUGAGAGUAGUGCAGAGGUCUUGCCGUUCUUUGGUUUGCACAACUGAGGAGGUUUCUGCUUUUGGAGAGGUUCUGCUGACAAGAUCCCAGACCCACGAGCACCCAGCACAAGGUGGUGGCAGCAGCAGGGACAUUUCUGCUAGAGGCCAAAAGAAGAUGUCAGAUCCCCACAAUCCAGAGUUACAGACAACUGUGAAACCAAACCUGGAUCCUGCAAGAGCUGCAAGAGCUCAUAACUGCUGAGCCAUCUCUCCAGCCCCGUGGUGUUUGUUUGUUUGUUUACUUGAGGUAGGAUCUCACUUUGUUUCCCUGACUGGCCUGGACCUACUAUGUAGUAUAGACUGGCCUUGAACUUGUAAAGAUCUGCCUGCCUCUGACUUGGCAGUGUUGGGGAAAAGCUGUGUACCACUGUACGCCUGUGAAGGUGAUAAAGUCUUCCCAGAUGC